AACAAAUAUUCCAAAUGGAAAGUAUCUUCCUACCGAGUUUUGAAGAAUUCAAAGAGCAGCCCGUGGGUUCGUUCAAAAGCUUGUACGUUCGGUGGCAGCGUCCGGAAAAGCAAGUCGUCAAUAUUGAACGCCAUGGCUAAUCAUUGUCCUUUAUAAUUCAUCACUGAACAUCUACUUUCCCUUGCAAUUUCUCCUCAUCCUUUCAAAAUUUUCUCUCAUUUUCUUUCCCCGGAAACGAACGCUAUGUCUUCCUUGAUCAUUCCCCCCGUUCUUACUACUCCACGGGACGAUGCUGCCCUACUUUACCGCGCAUUUAAAGGGUUUGGCUGUGAUACUGCGGCAGUUAUCAAUGUUCUUGCACAUCGAGAUGCAGCACAGCGUGCUCUGAUUCAGCAGGAAUACAGAGCCAUGUACUCUGAGGAACUCUCCAAGCGCUUGAAAUCUGAGCUUAGUGGCAAAGUUGAGGAUGCAAUUUUACUAUGGAUGUAUGAUCCAGCAACAAGAGAUGCUGUUAUAGUGAAGGAGGCUAUAUAUGGACAAACUGUUACUCUUAGAGCUGCCACUGAAGUCAUUUGUUCUCGUACACCAUCGCAGAUUCAGCAUUUUAAACAAGUUUACUUGGCCAUGUUUCAUUCUCCCCUUGAACGUGAUAUUCAAAACAGUGCUACUGGUGAUCACCUAAAGCUGCUUUUGGCUUACGUUAGUAAACCACGCUAUGAAGGCCCAGAAGUAGACGGAGCUCUGGUACAAAAAGACGCCAAAUCUCUGUAUAAAGCUGGAGAGAAGAGAUUGGGAACUGAUGAAGAUAAGUUCAUAAAGAUUUUCAGUGAAAGAAGCAGAGCACAUCUCUCUGCUGUUAGUCAUGCUUAUAAACAUACAUACGGCCAAUCUUUGAAAGAGGCUAUAAAAAAAGAAACAUCUGGCCAUUUUGAGCAUGGCCUUGUAACAAUUUUGCUGUGUGCUGAGAAUCCUGGGUUUUACUUUGCAAAGGCUUUGAGGAAGGCGAUGAAGGGAAUGGGAACGGAUGACUCCACUCUGAUAAGGAUAAUUGUGUCAAGAGCUGAGAUAGAUAUGCAGUACAUAAAGGCAGAGUACCACAAGAAGUAUAAGAAAACCAUAAACAAAGCAGUUCAUUCUGAGACAUCAGGCAGCUACAGGGACUUUCUUCUCGCCUUGUUGGGUCCGGAUCAUUAGACUACAACAACUGCUGCACUGUGGAUCAAGUGGAUGUAGGAUUCUAAAAGUUCUUAAAUUUCUUCACGUUUGAGUUCAUGAAAGCUUGUGAUCUUUUCUUUUUCUUUCCUGUAAUUAUUGUAUGUGCCUUGUGUAAGUUUAUGCUAUGAACAUCCACUGUAUGACGUUCAAGUUUGUAUAGCUGUUCAUCGUACAUUGAUUGCUUCCAAGUUUUAUUCUGAAAGGAAUGGUGCGUUAGAACAUAACUCUCCAAUGAUAUGAUAUUUGUUCACUUUGAGCAUAAGCU
Molecule: non-coding RNA, 1480 nt
Organism: Cucurbita pepo subsp. pepo (vegetable marrow)
Lineage: Eukaryota; Viridiplantae; Streptophyta; Magnoliopsida; Cucurbitales; Cucurbitaceae
Source: RefSeq, a predicted model, not a curated record